Molecule: long non-coding RNA, 658 nt
Filed under: Manacus vitellinus (golden-collared manakin)
Lineage: Eukaryota; Metazoa; Chordata; Aves; Passeriformes; Pipridae
Description: lncRNA (ENSMVIG00005017496.1)
Source: RNAcentral
GACACUGCCGUUGUUCGGGCCAAGCAUUCUGCGCGAGUGGCUCUGCACCCCUGGCUGGGAGGCUGCCGGGGACUGCGCGCCUGGAGGAGUGGAUGUUGCCUUUGCAUCAAAUGCCCUUCUGUGACAACGAAACAUUUCUACUGAUAUAAAUGGGCUGCUUUAAAUGCGUUUAAAAGUUGAUGUGGCCACAACGUAGUCAGUGGAGGAAAGGGUUUUUUGCAGUUGUGUUGUCACAGCGAGCUGGAACAUGCACAGGGCAAUGAGGGCUGUGCAGGUGCCCUUGAGUGAACAGAAGUGUGACAAGGACGUACCUUGAGUGACAAACAUUGAGCUCUGACGUCAGGAUGGACUGUCCUAUGUUUCUAAUUAAUGACUUUCCUCUGCUUACAAGUUCUGAAAAGAGUGACCUCUGCCCAGUGAAAGCUGUUUCCUGUUGUCUUUCUGGCACUGUGAUGGCUCUUCUAUGUGCUGCCAAGGCUUUAUGUUCAGUCAAGAUAUGUGAGUAUUGAAAAUUGUCUUGGUAUUUUCCUAUUCAAAAAAUAACUGUAGGUAAGUCAAUAAUAGGUUGAUUAGCUUUCUCUGGAGAUGUACCUUUUUAGUGUCUACUUAUUGAUUUCUUCUUCUAGCUACAGCACAAUAAAAUAAAAUGACAGAAACA